AGGGGUUUAGCUCAGCUGGUAGAGCGGCGGUCUCCAAAACCGUAGGCCGAGGGUUCGAUCCCUUCAACCCCUGCCA
This 76-nucleotide transfer RNA is filed under the name Bacillota bacterium. RNAcentral's name for it is "Firmicutes bacterium (gut metagenome) tRNA-Trp". It matches the Rfam family "tRNA". Rfam says of the family: Transfer RNA (tRNA) molecules are approximately 80 nucleotides in length. Their secondary structure includes four short double-helical elements and three loops (D, anti-codon, and T loops). Lineage: Bacteria; Bacillati; Bacillota. RNAcentral also lists the same sequence under 3 other names. The record is from RNAcentral.